Molecule: small RNA, 270 nt
Filed under: Caenorhabditis elegans
Lineage: Eukaryota; Metazoa; Nematoda; Chromadorea; Rhabditida; Rhabditidae
Description: Unclassified non-coding RNA W03G1.11
Source: RNAcentral
GAAAGUGCAUAAAUGCUGAGACGAAUCACAUCUUCAGAGGAUUUAAACGAAUUAGUUCAUCGAAAAGCAGCAAAGGUAUGGAGAUGAAUUGGAUUCACCACCUCCGCACGGCCUAUGCACGAGGGGCCUCUGAAAAGAAGAUUUUCGGAGUUGUUUAAUUUCCCUGAUUCCUAUCCAUCAAAAGAACUUCAGGAACUCCAACAAAGGAAGAAGAGAACUUGCUGCACAACGGAAAAAUUUUUAAUUUUGAAGUUUUUAAAUUUUUAAAGC